CCUACGGGAGGCAGCAGUGGGGAAUCUUGCGCAAUGGGCGAAAGCCUGACGCAGCCAUGCCGCGUGAAUGAUGAAGGUCUUAGGAUUGUAAAAUUCUUUCACCGGGGACGAUAAUGACGGUACCCGGAGAAGAAGCCCCGGCUAACUUCGUGCCAGCAGCCGCGGUAAUACGAAGGGGGCUAGCGUUGCUCGGAAUUACUGGGCGUAAAGGGAGCGUAGGCGGAUAGUUUAGUCAGAGGUGAAAGCCCAGGGCUCAACCUUGGAAUUGCCUUUGAUACUGGCUAUCUUGAGUACGGAAGAGGUAUGUGGAACUCCGAGUGUAGAGGUGAAAUUCGUAGAUAUUCGGAAGAACACCAGUGGCGAAGGCGACAUACUGGUCCGUUACUGACGCUGAGGCUCGAAAGCGUGGGGAGCAAACAGGAUUAGAUACCCUGGUAGUCCACGCUGUAAACGAUGAGUGCUAGUUGUCGGCAUGCAUGCAUGUCGGUGACGCAGCUACGACAUAAGUACACUCCGCCGUCGGGAGGUACGGUCGCGAGAAGUUAAAACCGUUAAAGUAAGUUAGUUAGUACGUUGUUAGAGNGCGACGACGACGACGACGGAGGAGGAG
This 610-nucleotide ribosomal RNA is filed under the name uncultured bacterium. RNAcentral describes it as "bacterial SSU rRNA". The stretch from base 1 to 518 matches the Rfam family "Bacterial small subunit ribosomal RNA", at positions 338 to 873 of the family's 1533-position model. The record is from RNAcentral.